RNAcentral lists this ribosomal RNA (422 nucleotides) under uncultured bacterium. Its description in RNAcentral is "bacterial SSU rRNA". It matches the Rfam family "Bacterial small subunit ribosomal RNA", at positions 355 to 774 of the family's 1533-position model. The record is from RNAcentral.
UGAGGAAUAUUGGGCAAUGCCCGAAAAAGUGACCCAGCAACGCCGCGUGGAGGAUGAAGGUCGUAAGAUUGUAAACUCCUGUUAGAGGGGAAGAAUAACUAAGUUUGGAGCUUAGUAUGACUGUACCCUCAGAGAAAGCCCCGGCUAACUACGUGCCAGCAGCCGCGGUAAUACGUAGGGGGCAAGCGUUGUCCGGAUUUACUGGGCGUAAAGCGCACGCAGGCGGCUCUGUUAGUCGGACGUGAAAGCUCUCGGCUUAACCGGGAGAGGCCGUUCGAUACUGCGGGGCUUGAGGUAGGGAGAGGAAUGCGGAAUUCCCGGUGUAGUGGUGGAAUGCGUAGGUAUCGGGAGGAACACCUGUGGCGAAAGCGGCAUUCUGGCCCUCACCUGACGCUGAGGUGCGAAAGCGUGGGUAGCAAACA